GUUUUUUAAAUUCUCACAGCUGUUCCUCUUUCAGGGUUCUUUGAACAAGUUUCAUGGUCAACAUGCGUUGUGAGAGAGGGCAAGGAAAAUAGACCAAGGCAUAUCGAUUAUAAGGUUUGAGAUGCCCUUUAAUAUAUGGUGUGGUGGAUGCAAUUCUAUGAUUGCUAAGUAUGUUAGGUUCAAUGCAGAGAAAAAGCAAGUGGGAAAUUAUUAUUCGACAAAGAUAUGGAGGUUUGCAAUGAAGUUUGCAUGAUGUAAGCAUGAGAUUGUUAUUCAGACAGAUCCAAAAAAUUGCGAGUAUGUGAUCAUCAGUGGGGCCCAAAAGAAGACUGAGGACUUCGAUAUUGAGGAUGCAGAGACCUUUGAACUUCCUGCAGAUGAAGGUUGGUUUGGAAUCUUUUUCUCCCUGUUAUUUAUUUAUUUAUUUUUAAUAUAAAGCGUUCAAAGUAAAUUGCAUUUUUAUGGAACCCAUUGUUAUG
Molecule: long non-coding RNA, 479 nt
Organism: Carya illinoinensis
Lineage: Eukaryota; Viridiplantae; Streptophyta; Magnoliopsida; Fagales; Juglandaceae
Exons: 3
Source: RefSeq, a predicted model, not a curated record